RNAcentral lists this long non-coding RNA (257 nucleotides) under Diabrotica virgifera virgifera (western corn rootworm). Its description in RNAcentral is "uncharacterized LOC126878960". Lineage: Eukaryota; Metazoa; Arthropoda; Insecta; Coleoptera; Chrysomelidae. The record is from RNAcentral.
AACAAAACGAUUUGGCAAACUUUAAGAGUCAUAAGUUUUGCUUGUUUUUGUACUUCAAAUAUGAAUUUUUUUUCAUAUUGGUGAAUAAAAAGAAGCUGCAAUAAAAAGUCAAAAAUGUAGUGAUAAGAAGGUGGCGGAGCAAGAAAUUGGACGAUGGUUGAGGAGAGCCGGGGAUCGCUUAAAAACUUUCAAGGAAAAGGAAUCAGAAUAAAAAUUGAAUUUAUUUAUUUUUUAAAUAAUAAAGAUAUAUUCACCUA